ACCUGUGUUCUAAAUUUGAAUUUGGUGGCAUGAAAAUUUUAUUGAUUUUUUGUCAUUUGAAAAUAUAUUUCGUCAAGUAUUUUCGAAAUGGAUAAAAUUGAACGAAGAGCGGUGAUCAAGUUUCUUCAUAUGAAGGGCAUGAAGGGGAAAGAUAUCUAUGACGAGUUAAAAAAUGUUUUGGGUGAAUGUGCUCCUUCUUAUAUCACAGUAAAAACCUUGGUGGCAGAGUUUAAACGCGGUCGUACAUGUGUCCAAGGUGAAGCCCGCUCCGGACGUCCAAAAAGCGUCAUGACUCCGGAAAUGGUCGUGUAAGUAAAUUAUAUGGUUUUAACAGAUCGACGAUUGAAUUUAUCUGAAACAGCUGACACUACAGUGUAGGUAUCUCAAAAGACCUGGUACAUCAUAUCCUAAGUGAGGAAUUAAAUAUGAAAAAGUCAUCGGCCCGUUGGGUGCCGCGAUAAGCAAUUAUAUAUUUUGCAGGCCUUAAAAGAUAUAAUUUUAUGGUAGGCAUUAUUGCUUUAGAACGAUGAUUGAAUAAGUGCGUUGAGGUUCACGGAGACUAUGUCGAAAAAUAAAAUUAAUUUUAUCACGAAAAGUUAAGUGUUUUAUUGUUAGGCUAGUUAAUUAUCAUCCCGCCCUUGUAGAUAUACCUUCAGGUAAUUUCUUUACACGUUUCCCAAGAGAGUUGUAUCAUGGAUUGGCACUUAUGCUGCCGACGCGAGCUCCAUCGACACUACGGAAGGCAGAACUGGCACUACCAAAGCCACUCUAGAUUAGUGAACCUUAUAAAGUACACUUAGAAGAGGGCGUUUAUCCCUUAAUUCUUUUGGGCUCCGAUGUUGAUUUGAACACUAGUAAAAGAGCCUCUCGAUUUCUUUAUUGCUUCGACGGAUGAAAGAGCUCACGAGCCGUUGCAAGCGUCAGCGAAGGGUGCUGUUAGGAUGUUAAGAGCUUAGCUGAAAUAGCCCCUAAGGCUACCAGCGAAUAGGUAUAAUAUAAAACAUCCUAUUACAGUGCUACAAACAUGUAGACAUGUCGAAAAUGUAAUCAGCUUUUUAAUUUCCCUUAAUUUGUUUAAUUAUUAAAAACAUUUGCACAGAGUCAAGAGCAGCAAAUAACAGUAUUUAUAAUGUAUUAAUGUAUAGAUAGACGCGAAAGUUAAUUUUUUUUAUUAAAUAAUCAUAAUAGACGUAAAAAUAUAGAUAAAGUAUUUCCAAUUAUUCUCAAUUAUAUAUUAUCGAUGUGCCUUCAUUUUAACAAGGAAAAAACGUGUUCCUACGUUAUUAUCAUCAGUGUUUGGUCGCCGUAAUUGGUUUGGUAAACACUGCCUUGUUUCUAUGGCGAAGGAUGCUUGUUCAUGAUGUCAUGGUGCGAUAUUGGAUGGAUUUAAUUUGUACGCGCUACUUUUGUGUCUUAGGAUCUUCGUUUCAAGGUCAUGUGAUCUUGAAGUCAUUGAACUACGCUACUAAUAUAAUGAAAUAAAAUCAUUGAAAUACACCACGUAUCUCGCGGAAUCAGCUGCAGCGUCAGUAUUGGCGUUGACCGAGAGGUGCCUUUUGUUCAUCCGACUACUCUACUCUUUACCAUGAUAAUGCGGAAGCAAUCGUUUUUGGUGCUGCUAAGGCGUCUUGAGAGACUGCACGAGUAGGUAGGACCACCUUCGGUUUGAAAGGCGGGGCAGCGGUUGUACUGUUAAAACUGAGUCCUUAGAACUCAUGUCUUAAGGUGGGUGGUGGCAUUUACGUUGUUGCUGUUUUUUUUAAUUGCCCUUGUAAGCAGACGAGCAUACGGCCCACUUGAUGGUGAGUGGUUACCGUCGCCCAUGGACUUCAGCAAUGCCAGGGGUAGAGCCAAGCCGCUGCCUAUCGUGUGGACUACGGUUAACACCAGAUGAAUCGCGUGCUCGUUCAUCCAUCUAAGAUGCAUCUAAGCAAUAAAAAAUCCUUCAUUAUUCCAAAUCUGUUGACCCAGACGGUGAUAUUCUUCCUGGAAAUCAGUAACAGCAUAUUUUAUAAGCAUUUCUUGGAUAUCGUAAUUUCCCGGGGAUUUAUCAUAUUUUUUAAUAAGUUGAAUGGUUUGUUUAUAAUACAAAAUAUCAUAGGUCUGUUGAUAUUGUUUGAUUGAAAUUACGGGUACCGUCCGCGUAUAUCACGAUAAAUACAUAAAUAAUACACGUACUGCCAUCUGUUGUCAGUUACUAUGUUAAGAAAAGUUAUUUUAUUUUCUGCUUAGAUGGCGCUUACAAUAAUAUAGUUUGAAUGAAUGACUGAAUAAAUUGAAUUAACACAAUGAUAAAUGUAAAGUAAGUAAGUUGCUUCUAAUCUCGUCAUAACUACCUAUUGAAAUACAUUAAAAACUUCCAAUCUCAUCACAGCGAGUCAAUGAAGUAAAUGAAAAACUUCAAAUCUAUUCACAGCAAGUACAAAUUGAGAUACAUUAAAUAAAACCUAAUAUCGUCACACCAAGCUAACGGAAUAAAUUUAAAACUUCAAAUCUUGUCGCACCAAGUCAGCGCUUAUAAUUUUUAAGAUUUUAUAACCUGCCGUGCGAUUCUCUAAAAUUCAAACAAGAACUCGCAUCUCACUACGAAAUUCUCCAUCACUUCGCAUUCGCAAUAGAAUGACCUUGAUUUGGCAUUCUGUAAACACUAAUCUUAAUUACCCUGCCUCGAGCGAAGUGAAGUGACAACGAAGUUUGUUUACAAUACUACUAGGGAUAGCCGUAUACACGCAAAUGUAAAUCGAAGCUUACCGGUUUCAGUUUUUCUUUGUAUUUAGAAGCAUUCUGUAAGAAAAUACUAUGAAUUUAAGCUUUGGUGUCUAAACCACAUCUAAUAUAUCUAAAAAGAAAAUUAAAAGUCAUAUAUUUAUGAAAUUAAUUGUAAUUUCUGGCUGUACGCUAAGUUCCUUUGCGUGCACUGGCGAAUACCAGAAUUAAAAAACAAAAUUUUAAUUGUUUUCAAAACAAUUUCGAGCGGUCGGAAGUUUUUAUUUUGCUUUUUCUAGAUUUGUUGUUACUUUGUGAGUGAAUUUAACGUUAAAUAAAAAUUAUGAGAUUUAAAGAGCGUUCUUCUCAUCCGACAUUGGCGCAAAUAGAGGCAUUGAUAAACGUUUUGGGUUAAAAGCUAGAGAAACAAAAGGAUUAAUCGAAUCUCAACAUGUUCAAUAAGAGAACAAGGAUAUUAAAAAAAUAUAGGAACUAAAUUCUCUUGUCAGUUAAGAUCCAUUCCCGGUGAGAUAUUUAGGACAUGAUAACAUAUAUUUAUGUAUGAUAUAUCUAUCUACAACGUUUUUAUUGAUGUUCUAUUUUAACAGGGCAUGAAGGUAAUUUAUUUGUAUCUCAAAUUCACCAACAAAAAAAUUAUUUUGAAUUAAAUAAAUCAAAUCAUUAACAAUUUAGGUAUUGCAAGUUAGAUUGAUGUUGUUGGAAUGUAUUUAUUGAUGCAGAGGUGACUGUAUCUAUGGUAAACGGUGUGCAUACUGGUACAGGGGUGGCAGGCAGUGCCAGAGUAUUGACUAAACUGACAUUAUGUUGGCUAAAGGCUGCAUACUCAGUUUAAAAUAAAUGAACAAAAUUUAGGCAUAACCUAUUUUAUUAUAUUUAAGGAACUACAACAGAUUGAAAAUACUAAUCCACAUCAUCAGAAUAUUGUAAGGAGAAUUUAUAGCCUACUCGGAAAAUGUAUCAGUAUUGGAACAAUCACAAACAUACAGCAUUGCAUCAAGAAUCACCUAUUUUGCAGUCAUCAUCCUCUAACUAAAUGCAAGUGACUUCUACUUAUUGUGAUGCUACUACUAGUAGCUCCAGCCACAGUAGGUCUCACAUGUUAGUCAAGAGAUUGGGUUGAUAUGUGUUUAUUCAGGUCAAAGUACCUAUUCAUUGAACCACCAUAUUAGGGACAUUGAUUUGUGUAUAAUGCUGUUACUUGUAAAUAAAAACAUUUUGUUGCAUGUAUUGUAAACAUUGUAUUUUACCUAACCUUGUUUUUAAAUAAAUUUAUUAUUUUUUUCAGCACCUCAACACCUGACCUGCUAUUUCACCACUUUUACAAUGAAAAGCAGAGUGUACUCAAAUUACUGAGAGAAUUUUGUGGAUAGAGGAACUGCAGGUGAAGAUUCAGGGUGUUCAUAUGUGUGUCGUCCAAAGCAUUUUUGAACACAGUACCAUAUAUAACUUAAUGAAACUUACAACCAUGGGGGAAUGAAUAGUCGACAAUCUGCAAGAAGGAUGAACUGUUGGUGGAAUUAGCACAUGCAGCUAGCAAUUUUAAACCUGUAUUUCCACAUAAGUUACAAACAUGAUGAUGCAAACAAAUUUCAAUUAUUGUAUAUAACUAUUGAAUAAAACUAUAAUAAAACUAUUUUUAUAAAUCAUUAA
Molecule: long non-coding RNA, 4377 nt
Organism: Bombyx mori (domestic silkworm)
Lineage: Eukaryota; Metazoa; Arthropoda; Insecta; Lepidoptera; Bombycidae
Exons: 3
Source: RefSeq, a predicted model, not a curated record